UAAAGAGACCUAUAUCAUCUAAAUCAUUUCCAAAAAAAUCCAAAUUUUAAGAAGGUAAAUAAAAUAAUUAUGAAAUUAACCAUCUCAUUAUGGUUGAUGUGUUGAAAUAUUUUAUUUUAAAUAGAAAAAAAAACCCAUGAGUUUAACAUACCCUGUCUCCUUUAUAAUCUUGGGCAAGUAAUUUAAGCUCUCUGACCUCAGUUUUCUUAUCUAUAAAGCAACAACAAGAUUUGUUUCAUAGAAAUUUUUGGAAGAUUAAGUAAAAUGGUAUCUACAAAGUGGUCAGCAGAGUGAUAAAAGCAGGUGAUCGGUAUUUUAAUACUAUAUGUGGAAUUUUAAAAACAGUUAAAAUUGUACAUUCAUCCUACAUUAGGUGACCUGGGGUAUAUUUUUAUAUUAUAAACUCUUAUUUUAUCAUCUCUAAGUUAUCAUUGAUUUUAUGAUGCACUAUUACUUUGUGUAUCACUAAGAAAAAUAAUAACUGUCAAACUAUGACACAAUGCUCAGAUGCCACCGUUUGUAAGAUAAAUCCAAAUUUCAAAAGGGCUAGAAUUUGAGAAGCACGCAUCUUAAAAUGAUUACAUAUAGAGUUCUAGAUUUCUUAUUUUAAAUUAUAUGUAGGAUACAUUUUAACAUAGUUGACAUUAAGUUCUUAUUAAAGUUCUACAUGAAGACAUGUCCUGUUUUAUAUGUCUGAAAUAUUAAAAAGGAUACAUGAUUAUAUUGUAAUUUUUAUAGAAAUGGUUCAAUCCCACUAUGAUGUUCAUCAGGUCAUAGAUUUGCUUACUUCAUCCUCCCAAGUAGAAGUAAAUUCUUUAAGGGCAAGGAUCUUAUCACGAAUUGCUAUACAACAUCUCUAUCAUUCAGCACCUAGACUUAAUUUAUAGUAGAUAUUCCAUACAUAUUUUAAUUGGUUUAUGAAAGUGUCUUCAUAGACACUAAAAUUAUAGUCAUUUAACAGUGAUUAAAUUGUCUCAUAUUAGUGUUUUUGUUUUUGCUUGUUUGAAUUUGUUCAUUAAAUAUUGUACCAUACAUGAGACAAUUGAUAUUUCUUCUUAGACUUGAACUUGGUGACAGACCCCAGACCCUAUUGAUUUCUAUUUACUCAAAUAAAUGCAACACUUGGUGAUUAGAGAAACACGGUAACUGUUUCUUUGUGGAUGAACAAAUGAUUUUGACUUUAGAAUGCCUCUGUGUCAUUGAGAGCCAGACAUGAUAUCAAGCAUUGCCUAAGCAUACCCCUGAAAUGAUGCCUAAUCUCUUAUUUUUAUCUGGUUUCCUAGGAAGCGGUGGCUUUGUCUUCACAUUUUGUGUAGCCAUACUGUUAAAGCCUGCUGGAUUUUCAGGGGCCACUGCUGAUCCUCAAGCUCUGAAUGUCAGCCAAUUAGUGGAGAAGUUUUCCAUGGCUGCUGCCCUAACCAGGCUUCCUGUCUGACAGCCCCAUUCUCAGCCUCAACCAGGGAGUUGAUUAACUGUGGGAUGAGGAACUUGCAGAUACUGAGGGCCAACUGUUUUAUAUCUGCUAUAUGGACAUGAGAAAGGCAAAGAAUAACAAAAGUGAAAUCAGUGAUUUCAAAUAAUUAUCUAAGAGGUGCUUAACAAUAGCUUAUUCCAACAAAGAGCUACACUCGAGGCUAUUAAUAGAGCAAGUAUUUGGAACAAUGAGAUGCAGAGAGCACCCAGCUUCAGCUGAUGGCUCUGAGGAAGACCUCGAUUUUUACAGGUGAUACCAUUUGUGCAGGGAUACUUCCAAUUAUUUAAUAUUUUGUUUUAAGAGUAAAAGAAGAGACAAAGAAGGUAUAUGAUUAUAAUAGCAAGAAAAUAAGCAUCACAGUGAACAUAAGGAAUCUCCCAAGUUCCAAGAAGUGUGUCUGGCAUACAGUAGGUAAUUUAUUAAUAUGAUAAUUCAUGAAUUAAAACUUAAAUGGUAAUUUAUUAAUGGAAAAGGAAUAAAUGGAAAUAUUUUUAUCCUCUUGUACAAGUUUGAUCUGUAAACACUUUGUGUAAAUCAAUGCACAGUUGUGUCACUUUUAGAACAAUUUUCCUAAAGUUGAUGGUGAUGAAUUCUAGGGCUGUGUAAGAAGACAAAUGAUCUCUGCCCCAGCAGGAAAAGUCUAGCUCUCUUUUUGUACAGAAAGGAGAGAAUGGAGCUCGUCAGUACUACUGGAUAGUUUUGUUGCCACUCAUUCUUUUCAAAAAUGGUGUAUUUAUAAGUGACAAUUUGUCCCAAUUAUUUCAAGAUAGACUAAAAAAAAAAAAAAUCUAACACUAAAUGGCAAAACUUUCCAAACAUUAAAUCAUAAGAACAGGCAGAGUGUGAUGACAAGAAUAAAAAAGAAGGGCCGGGUGCAGUGGCUCAUGCCUGUAAUCCCAGCA
Molecule: long non-coding RNA, 2376 nt
Filed under: Homo sapiens (human)
Lineage: Eukaryota; Metazoa; Chordata; Mammalia; Primates; Hominidae
Description: HSALNT0323895
Source: RNAcentral